This 3196-nucleotide long non-coding RNA is filed under the name Zea mays. RNAcentral describes it as "long non-coding RNA (ZMAY_LNC002619)". Lineage: Eukaryota; Viridiplantae; Streptophyta; Magnoliopsida; Poales; Poaceae. The record is from RNAcentral.
ACCCCCUCAGAGACAUCAUCACUCGCACAUAGACUUCCUCACACUCAAGCAAUACAACCACAAUGGAGUAGAGUAUUACAGUGUGACGACCCGAACCAUUCUAAAUCCUUGUGUGUUCUUGUGUUCAUCCUCCUCAUCAGGCAAACCCUAGGCUGCCUGUCACACCCGGAUUAAGGGAUAAAGCCGGGUGCGUCUCAUAUAUGCGCCAAAGAAGAACAUCACAUAUGAUGACAAAGUGUAUAGAGAUAAAUGUCACAAAUAUCAUUAUUACAUAGCGGAAGUCUUACAAAAAUAAAUAAGAACAAUAAAGUGAACUAAGUAUUAUUCCUUGAUGCCAUCAAGCUGACUGGGAGACGCCACCUAGAUAAGCUCGUACUCCUCGUUGUAGGUUUCCUCCUGAACCACCUGUUCUUCUCCUGUGGGGGGUUUAUAUAUCGCAAGGGUGCGAUCACAAAAGAUCAUAACUCAACAAGUUGUGGGUAAUAAUGUGCAUGAACACACCAAAGGUGGGAGUUCACGUGGAGUGUAAGGCUGAUCAAUAAAUAAGGGUUAAAGCUGAGCAUUGCUUUUAAUAAGUUGGUCAAGUUUUAUUAACAGUUACUAAAUGUAAGUAGAUAUCAAACCAGAUUAAUAAUAGAUCAAAAUUAAUAAUAAAACCACAAUGUGAUGCAAAAUGAUAAAGUGAGUUUAAUUCUAUAAAUUAAUCAUGCGAGAGUCUUGAGCUACUCAUGACCGCGAGCACUGCAGUAUACCAAUUUUACACUCUGCAGAGGUUGUACCCUUUACCCACAAGUCAUGUCACCCGGUUGCCAAGGGGUCUAGAAGUCCCAUUCAUCUCUACCGAGGAGACGAGGCAGGGUAACACUACGAGGCCUUUACAAAGUUCCACUAGCUUUAGAAAACUCGCUAUAGUUUCUAGGGAGCACAAUGCAGGAAUCCCCUGUCUGACCGCCAUCAUAGCAAAAUCAACCCAAGAACCUCCCUACACCGACAACUCCCCUACUGCCCUUACCCCUUUCGGGUAAGGUAGACCUCCACUAGCUUUCCUAAUUAGUCGACAAAGGGCGUCCCAUUCUACCCUUGUGGUGGCACAUGUUUCUCAAGUUAAGCUCCAUGUUCCAAUUAACAUAAUAGUCUUAUUAUGAACAGAAUAAAACAAUAAUAAUAAAGAAUGACCAUGUGUAAUAGCUAUCUCAACACCCAAAACCACAUAUAGCAAUAGCAAAGACUACCCAAAAGUUUAGGGGUAAACAAGGUGUAAAGAUGACCAAACUAGGGUGACCUAUUGGGUCCUAUUGAAAUUAAGCCUAUGCAUGCCAAAAUGAUUAUAGAGAACAUUAUUGGGUAAAUAAAGGUGCUUAAGGGCAUAACUUGCCUUCAAUGAGCUCCUGUUCAGUAGUUCCCACUUGCUGGGUACCGGGGUCCUCAAUCACUUGCUCCUCUACUCAAAACAAUACAAACAGACAUAGUACAGGGGAAAUUAACAUCACACCAAAUAGAGAGAUAUAAUGCAUGAUAAUAUUCUAUACAUCGUAACAAGAUCGUAGGUUCGAGAAUCACUAAAUUCGGAGUCACGGAUAAUAAGUUAUGAUUUUCCAAAGGUUUGAUGUGUUUGGUACAAAAAUAACCAAGUGAUUAAUUUUAAUAUAGAUUUAAUGCUAAAACAAAGUUACCAAGUGAUAAACAAUAUUAAAAAAAUAAAAUUAUUGUGAUUGGAAUGGAUUAAAAAGGAGUUAAAAUAAAUUUUCUAGGAAUUAAACAAGUUUUGGGGUUAUUUUAACACUAAAAUCAUUUUCUAAAUUGAUUUCUCAGAUUUUUCUAACUCCCUGGAUUGCGCGCACCAAUACUAGGAAGCUCAUGGGUCUAAAUCAAAGAGGUCAGGGCCUGGCUAUGAGGGUCUUCACAUAUGCAUGGACGGCGGGUCAAUUCCUAGAACCCCGAGGGCUCAUAUGCAUAAAGGUUCGGUUGAAGGGAUAUGGAGGGUGUUCUAGCCAUUAGAUCUGAAUCCAACGCACCAGAUUAAAUGAACCUCAUACUGAGUGGGUACGCGGCCACUGACGUUGGAUUAUCGAUCUACGACACAUGUUUCACAUACGCGCGAUCUAAAAUCCUCCGUACGAUCUAGAGUUAACGGCCAGGAUUCAAUUAUGUGCAAAGGGGUACGCACUUCUAAUCUGGACUGCCCAUAGCCGAUCGGAUGACCCAGAGGUCACCACUGUCCCCCCGACCUAACCGGGUGGCGCCGCCGAGCCCCCAUGGUGGAGCAGGCCGUCGGCGCUCUCCGCCUGAUGCCCCAAACUUGGAUUCCAAGUCUAAUGGCCAGCGCGCAACGUCCUAACCUUCCUAAACUCGAAAAUCUACUACACGCCGCCGAUUAACUUGCCCAGAUCCCUAACCACGGCGAACCGUGGCAAACCGAUGCCAGAGGGGCUCCAGUGACCAAUUCCUGUCCCGUCAAAGAAUAAUUCCCUCCCCCGCAUGACACUACACCUCAAGGAUUAGUCAAUGACAACAACGGAAGCGGGCAUACCCGUGGAUUUGUUGUGAUGGAGCGGGUCCACAGCGUGGGGUGGAACCGAGGCGAUGUCAAGCGACAGUGAGCGAUUUCGAUCGUGUCUUGCCCACAGCCACGACUCCGAUCUGUGCGUAGAGCACCAGAGGCCCCACAGCUCCACCAGCCCGGUCUCCGAGCACGAGCGCAACCCCCUCCAACCCCCUCUCACCCUUCCUCUUUCUUUCGACGCCCGCGAGGGAAUCCUGGCGAACAAGGGGAGAAGGAGGUGUCCGACUCUGGAUAUAUACCCAGGGAAGAGAAGCCGGUGGGCCCAAGCUGGUGCCGGCGGUUGCGAGGAUAGGGGGAAGCUCCACCACUUGAUUCCGGCACGGCCCGCUACAUACCCGGCGUUUGUUACACGAGGAGCACGAUGACAAUGUGGGUCCACCCGUCAGUGCGUGAUCAGGGCAGCAUGGAGUCGCGCAGAUGUGACUUGCUAACGACGGCCCCACCUGUCACCGAGAGAGAACCCAGCCGCAAGUGAAAACCCAACGCGCGCGGAGAAUGGGCCAAGUGGGCUGGUUUUGGGGUUUUGGCCCAAGCGGAGUGUUAGGGUUUUUUCUUUUUCUUUUUCUUUUCCUGAUCUCUUUUCUUUUUAUUUUUUGAAUCUCAAUUUCAUAUUCAAAUUUUGUUGCCAAAUUC